Long non-coding RNA from Xiphophorus couchianus (Monterrey platyfish), 319 nucleotides. RefSeq lists it as uncharacterized. NCBI's taxonomy places the organism in Eukaryota, Metazoa, Chordata, Actinopteri, Cyprinodontiformes, Poeciliidae. The record is from RefSeq and is a predicted model, not a curated record. The transcript is spliced from 2 exons.
CAAAGAGACAAAAGGGAACUUGUCCAUCUCCAGCUGCGUCUCUUCGCCGUUUUUUCCACUCAACUGACCCUUCAGUAUCCGAGCUGCCGUCACCGUGGGGACGCCCAUUCCUGAACACCAAAAGUGGUAGGCAUCAAAUUCACUUUUCAGAAACCUGAACUGCUUUUCUUAGUUUAAAAAGUCUUGAAUUCAGUCAGUAACAGUUCACCAACUUCAAGACAGUGACCUGCCUUUGCAUCAAGAGAUAAGAUAGUCUUAGAGAAACCCAGCUAAAAAUUGUGAAAUAUUCACCUGAUUCUGAUGUUGAUAAACUUGUUUU